UAGCCGAUAAUUAGGACGAGGUGUCCUUGUAGAUCUGUGUACAUCUUUUGGUAGGUGUCUCGACAUUCGGUAGCUGUAUAUCCAUCCGAAUCACUCCGCUGGAGGUCGAGUAUUAUUUUGUUAUGUAUAAAUGAACUUAAUGUAAAUUUUAAAAGAGUAAUGCCAGUACGAGUUGGCAAUGUAUAUCACUAUUUUGACUCAAAGUCAUGAAAUAGGACUUAGUGAUAAUAAAUAGAAUCAUAAGUAAGAUAAAUAAUAGGCUUGCCUGGGUUUAGUGGAUUAUGUCCAUUGGACCCAUGCGCCGGUCAUGACCUGGAAUUUGGGUCGUGACAA
RNAcentral lists this long non-coding RNA (333 nucleotides) under Theobroma cacao (cacao). Its description in RNAcentral is "long non-coding RNA (TCAC_LNC002374)". Lineage: Eukaryota; Viridiplantae; Streptophyta; Magnoliopsida; Malvales; Malvaceae. The record is from RNAcentral.